AAAUUUUGUCAAAAUCAAGCAGUUUCUUGGACACCUUUCCAAGCUUUCUUGGGGUGAUCAACAUUAUCCUGCAUUCACCAAAAUGAAGAUAUGCAUUGCAGUGGGAAGACAUACUGGUACAAGAGGCAACAGUUCAGAGGAUUUCAUCCAGUCAAGGGUCAUGAUAAGAAACAAAACUCAUUGUUUAUGCAUGACAGUGUCCCACAGCCACAGAAAUAAAUCAUAUGAUGUGCACACCUAUUUGGACAAGAAUGCCAUACAUGCAGCCAAUAAACACACACCAGCAACAGAACUGUGUUUACCACAGUGAAAACAUCUCCAUAAACAGCAGUGGUGUCUGUGAAACCAAGAGAAGAACAAGAGUUGCAUUUGCACUAGGUGGGACUAUGAUUUUCUGCUGUGACUGUGGAUUGUUCCUGUUCUGCCUCCUGAGAUGCCAGUAUGGGAGCAGAUUAGCAGUCUCUACUUCUGCAUUUAGAAAUACCUGUGCCAGAAGCUCUGCCUCUGCCGCUUCUCCACCUCUCAUCUCCCCAGAAUGGGUCCAUGCCACCUCCUCUUGAGUACAGAAAGCAAUCAUUGACAGGAUGUUAUGGCCCUUUUUGAACUCUGUCUAUGCAAAACAUCACAGCUAAGGCUGCACAGCAGCACAGAAGGAAAUCCAUCAAUGGUACUUUAGCUUAGCAUGAUGGCAGUACUACACGGUCAGAGAAGAAAAGAACCACAUUAUGGCAUGCUUUGAACAAAAAUGCUUCAAGCUAAGAUAAAUGGGAGAAGUGACUUCAAUUUGGAAUAAUUAUGUUGUUAAAAUAUUUUCAACACAACAGGAUGCAACUUAACCCUGAUUGCCAGUACUAACCAGCCUCCUUUAAAGAAGAAAUAAGUAUUUAUUUUGGAAAGCCAUUAUAUGUAAUAGAGAGAGACAAGAUCUAAACCAAUCAAAAUCUAAACCAAACCCAAAUUCUUUAGAGAAAAGGAGUGAAAUUGUCACUAUACAAAAGGGCUGCCUGACUACUAUUCAAAAAGAUCUGGGCCUGAACUUAUUUGUACAAGAACUGAUAUAUGUAAGACAGAGAUUCUCUUAGAUCUCUUAAUGCAUCCAGUAGGCGUUAUUUUUUCAGAUCACGAAUGUUUGUGAGGGCAAACGUUUCAGGUCAUGAAUGUUCGUGUGAGCUUUCAAACUACAAAUUGUAACUUAGAUUUUUGAAAAAGCCUUAUAGCAUCUCCGCAAAUGCUUGCAGUGUAAUUGAAAUAUGUACAGGAGCCAAGAAGGGGCAACACUUCUAUACAGGCAAGUUUUGUUCUUGUUAUCGUGACAGCACAACCUGUGACACUGCUGGAGAGUUUUCUAUAGAUCAUAUACACUUAAUCAUAAGAUAAAAAGUAUUAACUUAGCCUAGUAGCUUCUCAAUUUGAUGACGCUUUUUCUGUUGUUAUUUUACUGAUAAUGCUUAUUUUCCUUGUUUUGGGAGAUGCAUGUAGUCUUUUAUUUUUCAUUGCUAACAUGAUUUUUAAAUUUUUAUUGCCAUCUAUUUUUUAUUGUCAUCUUAAUUUCAAUCUAAA
Molecule: long non-coding RNA, 1560 nt
Filed under: Zonotrichia albicollis (white-throated sparrow)
Lineage: Eukaryota; Metazoa; Chordata; Aves; Passeriformes; Passerellidae
Description: lncRNA (ENSZALG00000015722.1)
Source: RNAcentral